Molecule: non-coding RNA, 234 nt
Organism: Cinara cedri
Lineage: Eukaryota; Metazoa; Arthropoda; Insecta; Hemiptera; Aphididae
Source: the annotation of a GenBank genome assembly
UCUUUGAGUUUGAAUUUAAUCAUUUUUUUUUAUCAUCUUGGCUACUGGUCCUUUGGGGUACGUACGUUUUAUCAUAUUUUGUAUGAUCAUUAUUUGUAUAGGUACAAAUGUAAGGUUUCGUGCACAAAUAAAGGUUUUUGUAUGUGUUUUUUUUUUUUUAAAUUGAUAGAGCAAAAAUAUAUAUACCUACAUUUAUUUCAGUGUAAUUUAUUUGUUAUUUUUGUGACAUAUGCU